UGGGAAUUUUGGACAAUGGGCGAAAGCCUGAUCCAGCAAUGCCGCGUGUGUGAAGAAGGCCUUCGGGUUGUAAAGCACUUUUGUCCGGAAAGAAAUCCUUGGCUCUAAUACAGUCGGGGGAUGACGGUACCGGAAGAAUAAGCACCGGCUAACUACGUGCCAGCAGCCGCGGUAAUACGUAGGGUGCAAGCGUUAAUCGGAAUUACUGGGCGUAAAGCGUGCGCAGGCGGUUUGCUAAGACCGAUGUGAAAUCCCCGGGCUCAACCUGGGAACUGCAUUGGUGACUGGCAGGCUAGAAGUAUGGCAGAGGGGGGUUAGAAUUCCACGUGUAGCAGUGAAAUGCGUAGAGAUGUGGAGGAAUACCGAUGGCGAAGGCAGCCCCCUGGGCCAAUACUGACGCUCAUGCACGAAAGCGUGGGGAGCAAACAGGAUUAGAUACCCU
RNAcentral lists this ribosomal RNA (442 nucleotides) under uncultured bacterium. RNAcentral's name for it is "partial 16S ribosomal RNA". It matches the Rfam family "Bacterial small subunit ribosomal RNA", at positions 356 to 788 of the family's 1533-position model. The record is from RNAcentral.